UACAGAGGUCUCAAGCGUUGUUCGGAAUUACUGGGCGUAAAGGGUGCGCAGGCCGCGCGGGCAGUCAAAUGUGUAAUCCAGGGGCUCAACCCCUGAACUGCGCUUGAUACUUCCGCGCUCGAGCUUUGGAGAGGAGUCUGGAAUUCUCGGUGUAGCAGUGAAAUGCGUGGAUAUCGAGAAGAACACUUAGGGCGUAGGCAAGACUCUGGACAGAUGCUGACGCUCAUGCACGAAGGCUAGGGUAGCGAACGGG
RNAcentral lists this ribosomal RNA (253 nucleotides) under uncultured bacterium. RNAcentral describes it as "partial 16S ribosomal RNA". It matches the Rfam family "Bacterial small subunit ribosomal RNA", at positions 524 to 776 of the family's 1533-position model. The record is from RNAcentral.